AACGAACGCUGGCGGCAUGCCUAACACAUGCAAGUCGAACGAAGCCUUCGGGCUUAGUGGCGCACGGGUGCGUAACGCGUGGGAAUCUGCCCUUGGGUUCGGAAUAACAGUUAGAAAUGACUGCCAAUACCGGAUGAUGUCUUCGGACCAAAGAUUUAUCGCCCAAGGAUGAGCCCGCGUAGGAUUAGGUAGUUGGUGGGGUAAUGGCCCACCAAGCCGACGAUCCUUAGCUGGUCUGAGAGGAUGAUCAGCCACACUGGGACUGAGACACGGCCCAGACUCCUACGGGAGGCAGCAGUGGGGAAUAUUGGACAAUGGGCGAAAGCCUGAUCCAGCAAUGCCGCGUGAGUGAUGAAGGCCUUAGGGUUGUAAAGCUCUUUUACCAGGGAUGAUAAUGACAGUACCUGGAGAAUAAGCUCCGGCCAACUCCGUGCCAGCAGCCGCGGUAA
RNAcentral lists this ribosomal RNA (449 nucleotides) under uncultured bacterium. RNAcentral's name for it is "partial 16S ribosomal RNA". It matches the Rfam family "Bacterial small subunit ribosomal RNA", at positions 29 to 523 of the family's 1533-position model. The record is from RNAcentral.